ACUGCCUGGACACGCCCCCGCAGCCGCCCGAUUGGCUCUUUUCUUUGAUACCGGUCUCUAGUUGGUUGCAAUUAACCUUUCAGUGACGUGCCUAGGCGGAGAGAGCUCGCCCGGCGAUUGGUCCAAUUUGAAAACCUUUUACCCGGGGAAGAAAGCAAGGCGGAGAGGCCUCAUGCUGGAGGCUAAUCUGCCGUGGAAGCGGCCAAUCCGUAGUAAGCGCGCGAAGUUUAAACGCUACUGCGCGCCAUCAAAACCGGAAGACAAGGAGGGUGGAGUCUGGAGCCCCCUCUACUGUCUCUGGGAAAUCUGGGCCGGCCUAGGUUUUAAAGGAAAAGGGUCAGCCAGGCGGUGGUACAGCACACCUUUAAUCCCAGCACUCAGGAGGCAGAGGCAGAGGCCGGUGGAUUUCUGAGUUCAACGUCAGCCUUGAACAGAGUCAGGAUACUCCCACUCCCUCCUCGGAUCUGGAGGGUUUAAAAGAGAAGAAAUGAGACCCGAGAGUUCAAUUCUAUGUCACAAAACUGAGAACUGUGAUCCUUCACUACCACAAGUUUAGGAUUUCAAUAUUUAUUCAACAUGGUCUGUCUGGUUUCAGUUCUGUUGCUUCUCGCAGGAAAGGGUCUGAUGGAGCAGAGGUAGGCAUCCUAAUGGAGAAGGUGCCCACCCCAAUUCUUCCAAUUGAUCCAGAAAAUAAACAGAUGGGGCUGGGGCCACAGUUCACUGGUACAGCACUUAGGUACAAGGAAGCCCUGAGCUCAGUCCUCAAGCACCU
Long non-coding RNA from Myodes glareolus (Bank vole), 772 nucleotides. RefSeq lists it as uncharacterized. Lineage: Eukaryota; Metazoa; Chordata; Mammalia; Rodentia; Cricetidae. The record is from RefSeq and is a predicted model, not a curated record.